RNAcentral lists this long non-coding RNA (1398 nucleotides) under Equus asinus (donkey). RNAcentral describes it as "lncRNA (ENSEASG00005035239.1)". The record is from RNAcentral. Lineage: Eukaryota; Metazoa; Chordata; Mammalia; Perissodactyla; Equidae.
CUGGAGACCGAGGCAGGGAAGCCGAGGGGCCUUCAGGAGAAGGUCGUCCUCUCCCUCCUUCAGCUGGAGGGAGCAUGGCAGCAAGUAGAGGAAUGCUGGCGCUCUUGGCCCUGCUGCUGUACUGCUGGCAGGAAGCUGAGCUCCAGCCCUUCAGAGUGUUGACAGAUAAGGGCGUUUUCCUUUUACAUCCUACAAUGUCGUUGAAACACUAACAAAGUGAACAGAAGCCUGUCCAUCCGCUAAUGCCCGGCUGCAUCCGAACCCCUCCCGGUGUCAGAGGGUCCUUUCACGGGGGCUGGCUCCAGUCCCACCCGAGUAGAGUCCGAAUGCCUGGGCUCCAUCACCUUGUCCUGACCACGUCCGCGUUGAGGAAUGAUGAGACAGUGGCCGGGGACGGCCUUCCGGGAUGUGACUCGCUGGCAGAGUGGGCAGAAGGUGCCAGAAAGGGGUGGGGCCUCCGCAGCCCCACUUCCUGCCAGGAAGCUGCCUGCUCAGACCACCUGCUCCCCCUCCACUUUCCACCUUCCUCAGAGGUCACCGAGGACGGAAGCUCAAGGAAGAGGCCUGACAGGGUGCCCCGCCCCAGCUGCCUCGGUUGGACCAGCAGGCCCUGAAGAGUCACCCACAGUUGUGGGGUCUCCUGGGAGCAGGACAUGCAGGUGCUGGCCCAGCCUGGUGGUGCAUUCCAUCCUGCCCAUACCAGCCCAGAGCUAACUGGGGGCAGUCCUGCCUCCGUCUGGGUGAGAAGGCAGGCAGUCCCCUGAGCCUGACGAUGUCACGAAAGAAGCUCACAUUCCCAACUUCUUUUCUUAAGGAAACUUAGUUUUGAGACACUUACCAAGGACAGCGUCCUUUGGGGGCUGGAAGCACCCGUGGGUCUGUAACAGAUGGGGGACGUGUGGUCCCCAAUGCUGCCUCCCGUCCCUCCAGCUGCUCGCUCCUGUUGAUGGUGGUCCUGCCCCCAGCAUCCUCAGGAACUGCUCCAUGCACGUGGAUUAAAUGGGGGCCCCUGAUGCAGCCCCGAGCCGGCCUCUCCCCUCCCCAGAUCCACUCUCCUCGUCCCCACAGUGAGCACCUUGGGUGACCUUCAGGGUCUUCUCCAGCUUUAAAGACAGUUGAGGGCAGUUUCUAAACGGUUCUCUCAAAGGCACAUUGGGUUUCCUUACUCUGCUCUGGGGUCUCCUGCCUGGGUGGGCACUGUGGCCGUGGGCCACAAGGGCUGGCCUGACCAUGAGGAGAGGAGGGAGCAGCAGCCAUGGCCUCACGAUGGAGAAGCGUACAGCCUUGUUUUCCCCAAAUUCAGCAGGGCAGAACGGCAGAGCUCCACAGUGCGCCUUCCCUGGUGGCCGGGAUGUGCACCAGGCACGUACAGAGACAGAGCUGUGACUGUCAUAACGC